This is an RNA transcript of Ornithorhynchus anatinus (platypus), 1336 nucleotides long. It is a transcript of the gene named serum amyloid A-1 protein-like, with no coding region annotated. The transcript has 4 exons. NCBI's taxonomy places the organism in Eukaryota, Metazoa, Chordata, Mammalia, Monotremata, Ornithorhynchidae. The record is from RefSeq and is a predicted model, not a curated record.
GACUGAUCAAGAUCAGGGGAAGUUAAUCCAGGAAGGUGCACAGGCAACACUGCUGGGAAAAAGGCUUUUCUAGCAUUGAGCAAUAGUUCUGUCCUCAGUCAGUCGCAAGCUGAAAAUGAGAGAAAGGAGUAAAUAGAUUUCAAAAUAUUUCGGUAACAAAUCCACCUGUGGAAAUUCCCCAGAUCACUUGGCUUCGCUCGUUUUCUUUUUGUGUUAGGGAGAUAAGAAUUUGUAUAAAUAUCAUCUCUUCUUGACUGCACAACAGAAGAAAAAGGUUGGACUUCUUGGUAACACUGCAGAGCUUGAGGUGGUCACAGUGAAGCUCUUCGUCUGCACCUCGUUCUGCUCUUUGGCCUUGGGAGCUCACCGCUAGAACUGGUUCCUGGAUGCUGGAAGGUUCAUAAAAGAAACUGGUCAAGUGACGGCCGGGAAUUCCUGCAAGAAACCUUCGGGAGGGGCAUGGAGGACUUGCUGGCCGACCAGGAGGCCAAUCGCCAUGGGAGAAGCGGCGGAGAUCCCAACCACUGCAGACCGGCUGGACUGGAUGAGAAAUAUUGAGCCACAAGCGUCCCCCAAAAUGAAAAGGCUUUGAAAAGUGGAAACAAAGCAUCCGACCACAUUGUUGGACUACUUUCAGUGCCGCGAUCGGGGGCUUCCAUCGCUCUACACGGAGAGACUAGGAACGUCACCUGAUACAGAUAGGCCGAUGGACAAUUUAUGGAGGACGUUUAUCGUUCCCUAUCUGCCAUCUUCCGUCACCCACACCGGUGGCUUUCAGAUCGCCCUUUUCACUGCCCUUUUCCUCGUCCGGAUGGAGUCCGACUCCUUCUCGCGACGCCUUCGCGGAUGGGAGCGACUGAGGCGGCCCGGCGUUCCUGCCCGAGGCGGCCCAUCGCCAUCGGCCACGCUGUGGAAACGACCCCGCCCAACCUCACCACAGCACACUCACACCCACCAGACAACACACACACACAGACACACAAUUCCACACACAAACACAGGUGUGCGGGCGCGUACACACACACACACACGCGCACACCCCCCCCCCCCCCCAAACACCCUCACUUCAGGCCCACCUUGGUUAACCAUCUUGUGAAAUGGUCCUGUCUCACUGUGUGCUCCCACUCUCUCAGACUCACAGAUUCGCACACGUGCGCACACACACACACACACACACAAUAAACACACUCAACCGAGGUACAAUGCUUUUGUUUUUGUUUUUUAUGGUACUCGUUAAGCACUUACUAUGUACUGAGCCCCCUUCUAAGUGCGGGGCUAGAUUCGAGGUAACGAGGUGGGACGCGGUCCCUAUCCCACAGAGGCCCACAGUCAAAUA